Molecule: ribosomal RNA, 631 nt
Filed under: Ektaphelenchoides fuchsi
Lineage: Eukaryota; Metazoa; Nematoda; Chromadorea; Rhabditida; Aphelenchoididae
Description: eukaryotic LSU rRNA
Rfam family: Eukaryotic large subunit ribosomal RNA
Source: RNAcentral
AGCACUUUGAAAAGAGAGUGCAAGAGAACGUGAAAUCGAUAUAAUGGAAGCGGAUGACGUUGACGUAUCUAGCAUGUAUUCAGCUGAUUUGCUGUUUGAUACAUUUGAUUUGGUGUUCAUUGUUGUCACCGGUUGAAUGUGUUAAGCUGUUAAUUAGUGCAUUUGCAUGUGGAGUGCGACGGAUUAGCUGAUGUUGUUGGUGGAAAGCGUUAGUAGAGGACGUUUAGCUUGCUAAAUGAAACCUGCUUCGUUGGAUGCUAAUUAAUGUUGGUUGAUUUGCUUUGAAGCAUUGGCCCACGAUCUCAGGAUCACUUUGCUUUAUUCGUCGUAUAGUCAAUUACUCAUUCGACCCGUCUUGAAACACGGACCAAGGAGUUUAUAAUACACGCGAGUCAUUGAGUGUUAAAACUUAUAGGCGUAAUGAAAGUGAAACUGUUCAACGGUUGAAACGUGAUCGGUGUUUUCGGAUGCCGAGCAACGUUGCCCCAUUCCUAAAACUUGUUUUGGUGUGGAGGUUGAGCGUGUAUAAUGAGACCCGAAAGAUGGUGAACUAUGCCUGAACAGGAUGAAGCCAGAGGAAACUCUGGUGGAAGUCCGAAGCGAUUCUGACGUGCAAAUCGAUCGUCUGAUU